RNAcentral lists this long non-coding RNA (716 nucleotides) under Marmota monax (woodchuck). The record is from RNAcentral. Lineage: Eukaryota; Metazoa; Chordata; Mammalia; Rodentia; Sciuridae.
AAAUACAAGAAAGCUUAGAGGUGAAAUGGUUGAGUUAUGAGAGGCUUAACCUAAUCAGUGCAUUAAUCCACUUGCAUGGAUUAACUGGGUGGUAAUCCAGGUGUGGUUGGAGAGAUAGUUCACUGGGGGCAUGCCUUUGGGGUUUAUAUUUUAUUCCUAGUGAGGUUCUCUCUCUGCUUCCUGGUGCCAUGUCCUGAGCUGCUUUUCUCUGCCACACCCUUCUGCCAAGAUGUCCUGCCUCACCUUGGGCCCAGAGCUCUGGAGUCUGAUAUCUAUGGACUGAGGACUCUGAUACCAUAAGCCAAAAUAAACUUUACCUCCUGUAAUGUAGGAAAAAAGGUACAUUCAUACAUUGCUGCUGGGACUGCAAAUUGGUGCAACCACUAGGGAAAGCAGUAUGGAGAUUCCUUAGAAAACUUGGAAUGGAACCACCAUUUGACCCAGUUAUCCCACUCUUCGGCAUAUACCCAAAGGACUGAAAAUCAGCAUAUUAUAGUGACAUGGCUACAUCAAUGUUUAUAGCAGCUCAAUUCACAAUAUCUAAGCUUUGGAACCAACCUAAGUGCCCUUCAACAGAUGAAUGGAUAAAAAAAAAAUGUGGUACAUAUACACAAUGGAAUAUUACUCAGCCAUAAAGAAGCAUUUUUCUUAUGGCAUUUGCCAGUAAAUGGAUGGAACUGGAGACUACCAUGUUAAAUAAACUAAGUCAAUCCCAG